This 1631-nucleotide long non-coding RNA is filed under the name Panax ginseng (ginseng). Its description in RNAcentral is "long non-coding RNA (PGIN_LNC011562)". Lineage: Eukaryota; Viridiplantae; Streptophyta; Magnoliopsida; Apiales; Araliaceae. The record is from RNAcentral.
CAAUAUUAAUAUAUAUAUUAUUACUAAUAUUAUUGUAUUGGAGCGAACAAUAAAAAUUUGAAGAAUAUAUGAAAGGGGCAAAGAAGUAUUUGGGGGUAAAGAUGUAAUGGUCAAAGUCUGUCCCUUAGAGGUGAAAACGAGUCGAAACUCAACGAACACUCUAAUGCUCAGAUUCGGCUCUACUUGAAAAAAUUGAGAUCGAAUUCGAUAAGGAAUUUCUAAUUUUGCGCCAGAUUCAACUCGGAUCAUUACUCGGACGUACUCGGCUCGUAAAUACUCGACUCGUUUACAAAACGAGUUACUCACGAGCCUUCAAAUCGAGUUUCGAAUAUGAACCAUAUCGCUUAAUACUGAACCACUACAUUCUAAAUUGAUUAUUGAACUAAUGUUUAUAUAUAAAAGUCUUUUACUUUUAUUUUUGUAAAGAAAUUACAAAGAAUGUAAUACGAAUUGACAAUUAAUUCACUGAUUUAUUCAAGUACAAGCUUACAUAAUUUAAUACUACACUUUAUAAAUUAUAAAGAUUGAUACAAAUAUCACAUAUUUAGCUUAUUAGUAUGGAUCAGAUCAGUAUUCGAAUAUGAUCCAUCGAGCAGGUAUCGAGUAUGGUUCGAGAAAAAAUAAAAUACUCAAACCUUAAUCUGAGCGAAUACUGGUAUACUCGAAUUCGACUCGUGUAUCAUUAAACAGAAAAUGAGUAUGGAUCAUUUUCGACUCGAAUCAUCUUCGAAUUCGAGCUUUAGAUCAUAUUUUCGAACCGAUCUCGAGUCGAGUGUCGAACUACUCUGCUCGGCUAAUACCCCUACUGCCCCUACAUGUUGUAGCGGCAGGUGUGAAUUUUUUAUUUAUUUUUUAAUCCAUGCCGUCCAUUAUAUAUAUAUAUAUAUAUAUAUAUAUAUAGCAAACCGUCAUCUUGUUAUAUAAUUAGUAGUGCAAAAUUAUACCUUUUGGGUUAGUUUUGCACCGCUAAUUAUACCUUAAAAAGUAUGAUUUUACACUAAUAAUUAUAUUACAAGGCAGCGGUUUGCUAUAUUGUAAUUUGUAAAGUCAUAUACAGUAUCUACCCAAGUGAGAAAAAGUGAUAGUACAGUUAUGUAUUUUAGUCUUGUUGAAAUAGCUGUCUUUUAUCUGGUGAAUUGUUUGUUGUAGAUUGUUCCACUCUUGGGGAAGAAUUUGUUAUCUAUUUAGGGUUCUGGUAAUGUUUGGUGAGGUCAGAGGUGUAUAUAUGCUUUAUGCUUGUGUGAAGUUCACAUGCAUGAAAAUUUUAUCUUCUAUAUAAUUAUAUGAAAAUUGUUUGCAUGUACACUGUUAGUUUUUUGCUCUUGUAAUUAAUCAGUAUUUUAGUUUUUGCACCCCAUUUGGAUGAAUGAAUGAAAAUUGGUACAUUUUAGAUUAUUUUUUUUGGGUGGUGGUUUUGUUUUCUUGUGAUGAAGUAUUUCAUUACAUAUUCUCUAUUUUGUGUUGUUCUAUGCAUGGUACAAAUUUUUAUUUUCCAUAUUAAUUAUGACAUUGGAAAAAGUCUAGAUGAUGCAACUGGAAUGAAAAGGACUUGUUAUGAAAUAUGCUUUCUCUUCACCUAGCAAACAUGUGAUAUUUUUCGGAUAAGUUUUCUAUAUCAUCUCGGAUUUAAU